CACUGAAUUUGCUAAAAAUGGAGAAAUGUUUGGUAAGCCACACUCAUUUUCAGUAUCUGUUGAAAACCAAUGGCACAAACGUGUCUGGAUUUGCGCGGCCAGUGUUUGGGCCACACAUCCCAGGACCCCGCGGUGUUCCCCAGGGCUCCAUGGGUGGUGGGCAGGCUUUGCCCUGGGGGCUGUAGCUUUGUUUUGUGGCUCCUCAGAUUAUUUGACUUCCAACGGGCACCUGAGUGAGAACGAGGCGCGGAAGAAGUUCUGGCAAAUCCUGUCGGCCGUGGAGUACUGUCACGACCAUCACAUCGUCCACCGGGACCUCAAGACCGAGAACCUCCUGCUGGAUGGCAACAUGGACAUCAAGCUGGCAGAUUUUGGAUUUGGGAAUUUCUACAAGUCAGGAGAGCCUCUGUCCACGUGGUGUGGGAGCCCCCCGUAUGCCGCCCCGGAAGUCUUUGAGGGGAAGGAGUAUGAAGGUCCCCAGCUGGACAUCUGGAGCCUGGGCGUGGUGUUGUACG
This 515-nucleotide small RNA is filed under the name Pan troglodytes (chimpanzee). RNAcentral's name for it is "retained intron". Lineage: Eukaryota; Metazoa; Chordata; Mammalia; Primates; Hominidae. The record is from RNAcentral.